This 497-nucleotide ribosomal RNA is filed under the name uncultured bacterium. RNAcentral describes it as "partial 16S ribosomal RNA". It matches the Rfam family "Bacterial small subunit ribosomal RNA", at positions 28 to 507 of the family's 1533-position model. The record is from RNAcentral.
GAUGAACGCUAGCUACAGGCUUAACACAUGCAAGUCGAGGGGAAGCGACAUCGAAAGCUUGCUUUUGAUGGGCGUCGACCGGCGCACGGGUGAGUAACGCGUAUCCAACCUGCCCAUCACUUGGGGAUAACCUUGCGAAAGUAAGACUAAUACCCAAUGAUAUCUCUAGAAGACAUCUGAAAGAGAUUCAAGAUUUAUCGGUGAUGGAUGGUGAUGCGUCUGAUUAGCUUGUUGGCGGGGUAACGGCCCACCAAGGCAACGAUCCGUAGCGGGUCUGAGAGGAGGGUCAGGCACACUGGAACGGAGACAAGGCCCAGACCAAUACGGGAGGGAACAGAGGGGAAUGGAGGAUAGGGGGCGGAGGGCGGACCUAGACAUACCGAGUAGCGGGAAGAGGGCUGGGGGUAUGAAAUGUCUAUUGUUGGUAAAGGAAAACAGCGUGUGAAUAGCGACCCGUUUUGAAGGUACCCAAUGAAUAAGCACCGGCUAACUUCGUG